Molecule: unclassified non-coding RNA, 214 nt
Filed under: Hevea brasiliensis (rubber tree)
Lineage: Eukaryota; Viridiplantae; Streptophyta; Magnoliopsida; Malpighiales; Euphorbiaceae
Source: RNAcentral
CUUCUCCCUUCUCUCUCUCUCUCUGAAAUACUCAUAGCACUCACAGGAAACACAAAAUCAGCCUAUAAUUCACUAUAAAAUUUAGUAAUGAAUCAUCAUAUCAACUUCAGCAUUAUACAGAAUAAUAUCCAGGAUGGUCCAUUUCCAAUUGAAACGUAUCUAAUCUCUGCUCAUUCAGUGCCCAGGUUCAAACAUUACACCAUACAAAGAUUAG